RNAcentral lists this ribosomal RNA (355 nucleotides) under uncultured bacterium. Its description in RNAcentral is "bacterial SSU rRNA". It matches the Rfam family "Bacterial small subunit ribosomal RNA", at positions 28 to 378 of the family's 1533-position model. The record is from RNAcentral.
GAUGAACGCUAGCGGCAGGCCUAACACAUGCAAGUCGAGGGGCAGCACGGUGUAGCAAUACACUGGUGGCGACCGGCGCACGGGUGAGUAACACGUAUCCAACCUGCCGAUAACUCGGGGAUAGCCUUUCGAAAGAAAGAUUAAUACCCGAUGGUAUAAUUAGACCGCAUGGUCUUGUUAUUAAAGAAUUUCGGUUAUCGAUGGGGAUGCGUUCCAUUAAGCAGUUGGUGAGGUAACGGCUCACCAAACCUUCGAUGGAUAGGGGUUCUGAGAGGAAGGUCCCCCCACAUUGGAACUGAGACACGGUCCAAACUCCUACGGGAGCAGCAGUGAGGAAUAUUGGGUCAAUGGGCGC